UAGUCAUAUGCUUGUCUCAAAGAUUAAGCCAUGCAUGUCUAAGUAUAAGCAAUUAUACCGCGAAACUGCGAAUGGCUCAUUAUAUAAGUUAUCGUUUAUUUGAUAGCACAUUACUACAUGGAUAACUGUGGUAAUUCUAGAGCUAAUACAUGCUAAAAAUCCCGACUUCGGAAGGGAUGUAUUUAUUAGAUUAAAAGCCAACGCCCUUCGGGGCUUCGUGGUGAUUCAUGAUAACUUUUCGAAUCGCAUGGCCUUGCGCCGGCGAUGGUUCAUUCAAA
RNAcentral lists this ribosomal RNA (278 nucleotides) under uncultured eukaryote. Its description in RNAcentral is "partial 18S ribosomal RNA". It matches the Rfam family "Eukaryotic small subunit ribosomal RNA", at positions 21 to 303 of the family's 1831-position model. The record is from RNAcentral.